GAUAACUGAGCAGGGUAUUGAUCCACGAGUACGGCACAGUAUGUCAUUAGGAGUCAUUUUGUUCCUUUCUUUAAAAGUUUGGUUUUAUCCUUAGUCCUUGAGCUACCUUGUCUCAGGUUCUUGGCCAUCCAAGCCGUGCUGCCUGUGGGUUCUGUCUCAUGGAGUGGGCCUUAAGUCAACUCAGACAUCGGUUGGUCCUUCCCACAAGCUUCGUGCCAUCGUUAAAUUCGUGUAUCUUACAGGCCCAUUGUCGAUCAAAGGGUUUGAAGCUGGGGUUGAUGUUCACGUUUUUCCUUUUGUAGACUACGGAGUAAUUUCCUGCAUCAAUGACACUAGCUUGUAGGGAUGAAGGCUCUGUGUAGGCACCAGAUGGACGUCCCCAUGCUCAAUGAGUUGUGUAGGUGUUGUCUUCAGCAGUGGGGCCUUGAUGACAGUUUGUGGAGAGCAACCUGUAUAUAGCCUUGGCGACAGCCUGGAUUAUUUGGGGAUUCCCAUAGGACCUCUUUGGCCAAUAACUCUUUUAAAUGUAACCCAAUUCCAGUACUGGAAAUUUCAUUUAGUUACACAGAUGUCCAUCCGGGGCCCUGCCUUUCUUGUUAUUUGGCAAUGUCGUUUACAGUCCCUUCAUGUAUGUAUGUAUUUUACAAAGCUUCUACUGUAUUAGGUUUUCAUACUACCCACCAAAUGGCCCUUAAUUUUGUCUCCCCCAUAUUUCCUCCUCCUUCCUUUCCUUCCCUUCUCCUCCCCACUUCACCCUCCCAUUCCAGCUCUCCUCCAACCCAUCUAUAACUCUAUUCUAUUUCCCCUUCCUAGGGAGAUCCAGUUCUUUAUCUGUGCCUAGUCGUGGAUUGUAGCUGGGUUAUCAUUACGUAUUGACUUCACACGUAAUAUCCACAUGUAUGUGACCCCAUACCGUCUUUGUCUUUCUAGGUCUGAAUUGCCUCACUCAGGAUGAUUUGUUUCCAGUUCCAUCCAUUUACCUGCAGGUUUCAGGAUUUCAUUUUUUAAUGGUGGAGUAAUACUCCAUUACGUAAAUCUGCCACUCAUCUGUUGGGGACAUCUAGGGUGUUUCAGGUUUCUGGAUAUUGUGAAUAGAGAAGCAUCUCUGUGGUAGGAUGAAGUUUCAUUUGGUAAUAUGCCCGAGAGUGGUACAGCUGGACCUUGAGGUAGAUCUAUUCCCACCUUCCUGGGGAACUGUGACACUGAUUUCCAUGGUGGCUGUACACGUUUGCAGUCCCAUCAGCAAUGGAGGAAAGUUCCCCCUACUCUACAUCCUCACCAUCAUGAGCUGUCAUUUGUUUCAUUGAUCUUAGCCAUUCUGAUGGGCAUAAGAUGAAAUCACAAAGUAGUUUUGAUUUGCAUUUCCCCGAUGACUAAGGAUGUUGAACAUUUCUUUAAGUCAGACCAAGGCAAUUUAAACAAAGUUUCACUCCUGCCAAUCUAGGAGAGCAGGGCGGCUGGCCUGACCCAGAGAUGCUAAUGAGCUCGUCUGGGAAGCUUGGUGUCUGGCUUGGCAGGGAGGCCUUGCUAAGGCACUCAGCAUCUCAGCAUCGCCCCCAGGGAGAUGGGAAGAGGUAUGCUCAGCUGCAGCAGCCCAGGGAAGGCGGAGGGCUUUUGUGCCAACUGGCUUGAAGAGACAGUCUGGAAGACAGGUUCACAGAGCCAACCUCUGAGAAGACACAGCCUCCUGGGGCAGUACUUGCCAAUAUGCUUAAGGGAAGCUGGCACCUCUGGUAACCCAAGAGCUGUUUACAGACACAGCAGUGAGAGAGCCUGGGAGCAGCUCCUUGAACAGACUGAGGUCUGCGCUCCCUUCCCAGACCCAUGCACAUACAGCCGUAACUCGAGGGUAUAAAAAUACAAUGCCAGUGGUACUAGAGAGACUGAGAAUGUGACGCUCCUCCUCGUGACCCAACUACAAGUAAACAGCUGGGGAGGGGCAGAGCGAACUCCCAAUCUACUCUAGAAUGUUCGCUGUGAUGAAUUUGAUGCCAGAAAAUAAAUAAAUAAAACCAUGGGUGUGUUUCCCUGGAGGAAA
This is a long non-coding RNA of Rattus norvegicus (Norway rat), 2038 nucleotides long. RefSeq lists it as uncharacterized. The record is from RefSeq and is a predicted model, not a curated record. Lineage: Eukaryota; Metazoa; Chordata; Mammalia; Rodentia; Muridae.